GUGACCCUUCUAACAAUCUGUCAGAAGGAGAAUCCUCUCCUUCUGGACCACAGUUGACUGUGAACAACUCAAACUGCAGAAAGCUAAACUGCAGGCAAUGUACGGCACAUGUCCAAUGCCAACUGUUACAGAUGUACACAGUAUUUUGUUAAACAAGACUGAGUAUACAGUUGAAUAAACAAUGGGAAAGGCAGUCAAAAGAAAUUAUAUACAACAACUGUAUUUGAUUCAACUAAAAAUCAGAAGCUAUAUCCUCAAACUAUAAAUGGCUUGCGACCAGAAACCACUGUAUUUUGUAACUCUAACAUCACCACACUGUGGCUGACACACAGAAGAUGUUCCAUAAAGGAAACCAAAAGAUUCAUCUGAUUUGCUUUACUGUGGUCAUCUGGAACCAAACCUGCCAUAUCUCUAAGGAUCAUUCAAUCGAGAUGAGCUCCAAAUAAAUACUGUGUCUCCUCUUUGAACAUAAUGGAUCUGGUAUCUGGUGGUAAAGCAACAAUCUUGCACCCAUGAGUACAGACCAAACAUUAAGGAUGGAGAAGUUGGAAACCAAAAGAGAUUGAGUUCUUAAACUUUUUUUUUUUUUGAGUAGAGCUAUUAACUAUUUAUGGAUUCCAUGUUAUACAAGAAAAAGCCUCUGUUUAAGCCACUGAAGUCAGUCUUCUAUUACAUGCAGCUGAACACAACACAAACUGAGAUAUAAUGCUAUGGAUCUACAUCUCUGGUGCUUUUUGGUCUUUGAUCUGUGAUUACAGCAGAAAUAGUCGUGACAGAAUUUUCAUUAACUUGGAUCUGUCUUUUUUCCUUAUUCCAUGGUAUGUCUGAUAGGGACCAGCCAGCAGACAGAACCAUUUUAGUAAUUUGAACAAAGAAAACUUAAUGUAAAGAUUGUUAACCAAUAAAAGGUAUCUACUAAGAAGGAUAGAGUAGAUUCUAACAACUGUCAGAAUAGCUACUACCCUUGGCUGAGGAAGAGUGAACAAAAAGGAAGAAUUUAGAAAUUUAGAGGAGAGGAUAUGGCUGUCACAGGCACAUAGAGUCCACUUGUGGUGAAGGAACUUGCUGGAGACACCAGUCACAAGUGAACCAGGAAGACUGCUGAAGUGAACAUAACCAGACCUCUCUUGCAAACCAACCCAUGGGCUCCGACCAGAAGAAAGAAAAGUCAUUUCCUCCAGCUCUGCCCCUACAGGAUCUUUCCAUUGCCCUCUCUUGGGAAAGCCUAACAUUUUGCCAGUUAUCAAAGCAGCAAUGCCUGCAGGGUCCAGCUCUAGAUAAGGAAGUAAAGCAAAGAAGGAUGCAUUUGUAGCUGAGAAGUCAUAAGUUAAUAACUGGCACAGAUGACAUGACCUAAUAUGAGAAGAGCUGACCAGAAAAUCUUCAGCAUGCACAUCAAAAUGUACCCACUUGGGGGCACCCACAAUGCAGCUUUUCUGCCUGUUUUCCUGCCCAGAAGCUUCAAGCCCUGCAGAGCUGGAGUGGAGCCAGCUGAUGAAUUUAGUCUGCUUUCCAGGACCCAGCCAGCCAGAUCUGAUGUCUCAAGAAAUAGCCUUCUGUAUCUCCAACUUUGCAGAAUAUCUCACUUAGCAUGUUGCCCACACAAUAAACUAUUAUGUGCUAUUUAAAACAUUAA
Long non-coding RNA from Canis lupus familiaris (dog), 1636 nucleotides. RefSeq lists it as uncharacterized. Lineage: Eukaryota; Metazoa; Chordata; Mammalia; Carnivora; Canidae. The transcript is spliced from 8 exons. The record is from RefSeq and is a predicted model, not a curated record.